UACAGAGGUGGCAAGCGUUGUUCGGAAUUACUGGGCGUAAAGGGCGCGUAGGCGGUCCGAUAAGUCCCGUGUGAAAGCCCCCGGCUCAACUGGGGAACUGCACGGGAAACUGACGGACUUGAGUUCGGGAGAGGGAAGCGGAAUUCCGGGUGUAGCGGUGAAAUGCGUAGAUAUCCGGAGGAACACCGGUGGCGAAGGCGGCUUCCUGGACCGACACUGACGCUGAGGCGCGAAAGCUAGGGGAGCAAACAGG
RNAcentral lists this ribosomal RNA (253 nucleotides) under uncultured bacterium. RNAcentral's name for it is "partial 16S ribosomal RNA". It matches the Rfam family "Bacterial small subunit ribosomal RNA", at positions 524 to 776 of the family's 1533-position model. The record is from RNAcentral.